AGUACUCAUUUGAUUUUUCUUCAAAGUAAGCUUCUUUCUGAUCAGUAGAGUAGUCUUCUUCUUCUGAACCAGGCUCCUUUGACCAAUGCUCAAAUU
This 96-nucleotide small RNA is filed under the name Arabidopsis thaliana (thale cress). RNAcentral describes it as "ATSL202850". Lineage: Eukaryota; Viridiplantae; Streptophyta; Magnoliopsida; Brassicales; Brassicaceae. The record is from RNAcentral.